UGACGUAGGGGGCUAAGCGGUUGUCCGGAGUUUACUGGGACGUAAAGCGCACGUAGGCGGAUCGUUAAGUCAGGGGUGAAAUCCCGGAGCUCAACUCCGGAACUGCCUUUGAUACUGGCAAUCUAGAGUCCGGGAAGAGGUGAGUGGAACUCCUAGUGUAGAGGUGGAAUUCGUAGAUAUUAGGAAGAACACCAGUGGCGAAGGCGGCUCACUGGUCCGGUACUGACGCUGAGGUGCGAAAGCGUGGGGAGCAAACAGG
Molecule: ribosomal RNA, 259 nt
Filed under: uncultured bacterium
Lineage: Bacteria
Description: partial 16S ribosomal RNA
Rfam family: Bacterial small subunit ribosomal RNA
Source: RNAcentral